UGCUGUUUCAUUUGCUUCAGGUCUCUUCUUGGAAGACACCACACACAGAUGCGGUGCAGAAAAAGCUCCAGUGUGCAAAGACGACGAGACUUGCGCUUAUGUCUUCAAUCAAGUUUAUUGCUACAAGUGCCCCUGCUACGGACAGUUCAAUGUCACCUGUCUGAAGCAGAGCGACCAGUAUCCGGCCUGUGGACCAAACAGCAUCGCCACACUCUACGGCACUGAAUACAGCUGCGAUGGCUGCCGGUCGGCUAGUUCCGUGCUUGUCGCCCCCAACUAAGCACACAAGUGGAGCAUAUCAAACGACCAACCUCUGCUGAGA
Molecule: long non-coding RNA, 322 nt
Organism: Rhipicephalus sanguineus (brown dog tick)
Lineage: Eukaryota; Metazoa; Arthropoda; Arachnida; Ixodida; Ixodidae
Exons: 3
Source: RefSeq, a predicted model, not a curated record